UAAUCCCAAGAAUGGAGAAAUAGUCCCGAAAGUCCCAAAAAUCCCAAAUUAGUUCUCAAAAUCCCCAAAUUCCUAAAUUAAUCCCAAGAAUGGAGAAAUAGUCCCGAAAGUCCCAAAAAUCCUAAAUUAGUCCCAAAAAUCCCGAAAUACUCCUGAAAAUCCCACAAGUCCCGAAAUCAGUUCCGAGAAUCCCAAAAUAGGCCCGAAAGUCCCAAAAAUCCGAAAAUAGGUCCCAAAUAUCCCGAAUUAACUCUCAAAAUCCCAAAAUUCCUAAUUAAUCCCAAGAAUAGAGAAAUAGUCCCGAAAGUCCCAAAAAUCCGAAAUUAGUUCCAAAAGUCCCGAAAUACUCCUGAAAACCCUGAAAUGGUUCCGAAAGUCUCAAAAAUCCAAAAAGACCCAAAAAAAAACCGAUA
Molecule: long non-coding RNA, 413 nt
Organism: Rhagoletis pomonella (apple maggot)
Lineage: Eukaryota; Metazoa; Arthropoda; Insecta; Diptera; Tephritidae
Exons: 2
Source: RefSeq, a predicted model, not a curated record